UCGAUCAUGAAUCUUGCUGCUACCAAUUCAUUUUUCUAUUUUUCUUCUCUUUAUGAUGUGAUUUGAUGAAUAAGCCCUGAAUAUUACUCGAUCAGAAUUUUUGUGAUUUACAUGGGUGAUUGGUGUGUCUUUGCUUUGCAAGCAGUGCAUAUCAUGAUUAAUAGCGUAAUGGUGUUGGUUAAAAGCAAUCUGGUUCAGCAUUGCAUGCAUGAUUGAUUGCAAGCAUUGGUUGGUCUUCAUUUUUCUGUGGCACUUGAAGAAUGUAGAUUUAGCUGCUGUUUUGUCAUUAUCUAUUUCUGAGCAAACAACAAAAAGGAGUCAUGAAAGCUUUACGCAUUGCUUUUCUCUUAUUUUAAUUAAUGUUCAUGUUUUCUGUCAAUACAGUCAAGUAAUUUUUUUUUAUAGAUGACUUCAAACAAUUGGAGAUCUUUGCCAUUACUUUUUACAAUUUUUCUUUCCAAAAUGUUCUGUUGUGUUAGAGAAAUACUGUAUGCUGUUAUUAGGGUCAGUUCGCGACUUCAUGUUCAUCUUUAUAGAUCUGGUUUGACCCCUUUUUUGGUCCGAUCUUUUGCAAAGUUGUUUUUCAUUUUCAUAGUGCACUCGAGUGCCUUGUUGUCUAGUGAAAUAAAUUUCCUGUGUUUUACUAAGGUUAUCGAUUCUUUUGUGCUAGCAUUAUACAUCAAGCAUAUAGAAAACCUUUAAUCUUGUCAGAUUUAGGAUAUUCCUGAAGAAUGUUUUUGAUGUUUUGAAACCAAUUAAUGAUUCUUGGACUUGUGAUCACAUCAAUAUAGGGAUAAUUGGGAAGAUGGAAA
This 812-nucleotide unclassified non-coding RNA is filed under the name Hevea brasiliensis (rubber tree). Lineage: Eukaryota; Viridiplantae; Streptophyta; Magnoliopsida; Malpighiales; Euphorbiaceae. The record is from RNAcentral.